This 253-nucleotide ribosomal RNA is filed under the name uncultured bacterium. RNAcentral describes it as "partial 16S ribosomal RNA". It matches the Rfam family "Bacterial small subunit ribosomal RNA", at positions 524 to 776 of the family's 1533-position model. The record is from RNAcentral.
UACAGAGGGGGCAAGCGUUGUUCGGAAUCACUAGGCGUAAAGCGCAGGUAGGCGGUUUGGUAAGUCUUUUGUGAAAGCUCCCGGCUCAACUGGGAGAGGUCAAGGGAAACUACCGGACUAGAGUGUGGUAGGGGAUACUGGAAUUCCUGGUGUAGCGGUGAAAUGCGUAGAUAUCAGGAGGAAUACCUAUGGCGAAAGCAGGUAUCUGGGCCAUCACUGACGCUGAGCUGCGAAAGCUAGGGGAGCAAACAGG